This is a long non-coding RNA of Chelmon rostratus (copperband butterflyfish), 1564 nucleotides long. RefSeq lists it as uncharacterized. The transcript is spliced from 3 exons. NCBI's taxonomy places the organism in Eukaryota, Metazoa, Chordata, Actinopteri, Chaetodontiformes, Chaetodontidae. The record is from RefSeq and is a predicted model, not a curated record.
AGCCGACACUUGGUCAGACCUGUCCGUCUUCACGUUAACGGCGGUUUUCACGAUGAUAUCUGCAACAUUUGUCACGGCAGAAACAUCACUGUAUCCUUGUUAAUCACACAACAUUAGUGGGUUCAUUUCCUGGACGUCAAUUUUCAUGUUUUUCCCUUCGAUUCUCAGAAAGAAAGAGUUGUUUAUCAGUGAUGGACAGCUGGAGGCGACACACUACCCAUAAUCCUCAGCUACCGUUGCUAUAGAGACGACGCCAGUCCGCUUUGCUUGACAACAUCGUUUUAACUAAUUAUUCCUAAAUUAAACAGGAUGUGAAUGUGAAUAAACGUUAAUUAAAAGCGACUGAUAAUUAAAUCGGUGUCUAAAAAACAUCAACCUUCAGUUUCAGCUCGCAGGAAGCGAUAGGUCAGCAGCUUUCAAGCUCGGUGAUUGGAUGCUUUAAUCGCAGUGCACCUUGGGAGUUGUAGUACACGUGAGUCAUUUCGGGACUCUGGAUGACCCUUGAUUGACACCCGCCACAGACAGGUAAGUUUUCAUGAACUGAUCAAUAUAAUGUCAACAAAAAUACAAGCAUAACAAACGUGAAAUAUGUCGUUAAGAGCACUUUGUUUUAGAGAGAGAGGGAGAAACUUAAGAACAUCCUCUGAAACAUUCUGUCCUUUGCAACGUGUGUUCAUGUGAAAGCUAGUGUAGCUGCCAUCGAAGUCAGGAUAAAUAAAUAAAUAAUAGAUUAAUAAAUAUUAGGUUAAAAAUAUAAUCUUCAUAAAUAUAUAUAUAUUUCUACGAUCAAUAGUUUAAUAAUAGUUUAAUAUUAAAGGUAACAUUUCAUUUGUUUCAUGUAUUUUCUUGGUUUGAUGUGGGGGACAUAUCUUAAUUGAGAUAGGAACCAAAGUUUGCUGCCGCGGGUUGAAGGGGUGUUACUUUUAAGGGUCGGAACUUGUUGAUUGAAACCAUUUGGACCAAGCUAGCAGGUCGACACCUCGCCGAUUCCUCUACCUGAGAUCAGCACUGAUUAAGAAGACUUCUCAUUUUCUCUCAAGGGAAAGCGGCCGAUGAGACUAAAUGCUGGUCCAAGUGUGACACAAACAACAGCAGAAGUAUGUGAAGCUCGAUGAGGUUGGAGGACAAUAUGACUUCCUGCAAUUUCAUGAAAGAGAAAUUGUUUGGUAUAGGCAUGGACUACAUCAAGGCCCACAUGGAUCUGGAGUCAGUCCCAUCACCAGGCAGCCAUUCAGGGUCAGAGGAGGAGGACUUCUUUGGUCUUACGAAGGCAAACGUUCAAGAAACCACAAGACAGCUGGACACCUAUCUGGCCAGUUCAACAACGUCCAUCACUGUCCUCCAGUCAGUGCCCAAUGUUCUCAACUUGUCCCUCAGGAUCAACAGUCCGCCGCCUGCCUCGGCAGCAUGUGAAAGACUUUUAGCUCAGCUGGGAAGGUUUUUUCUCCAAAAAAAGGCAGACUAGGUUAAAAAAAAACUUUGAAAACCAACAACAGUGCAAUACUUUUUCAUUACUACUGUUUACUAUCUUGCUGUUUUAUUAUUAUGUAUAUAAUCUUUUAAC